RNAcentral lists this ribosomal RNA (437 nucleotides) under uncultured bacterium. Its description in RNAcentral is "partial 16S ribosomal RNA". It matches the Rfam family "Bacterial small subunit ribosomal RNA", at positions 29 to 507 of the family's 1533-position model. The record is from RNAcentral.
AGCGAACGCUGGCGGCAGGCUUAACACAUGCAAGUCGAGCGGGCAUCCUUGUGGUGUCCGCGGCAGACGGGUGAGUAACGCGUGGGAACGUGCCCUUCGGUUCGGAAUAACUCAGGGAAACUUGAGCUAAUACCGGAUACGUGCUAGAGCAGAAAGGUUUAUCUGCCGAAGGAUCGGCCCGCGUCUGAUUAGCUAGUUGGUGAGGUUAUGGCUCACCAAGGCGACGAUCAGUAGCUGGUCUGAGAGGCUGAUCAGCCACACUGGGACUGAGACACGGCCCAGACUCCUACGGGAGGCAGCAGUGGGGAAUAUUGGACAAUGGGGGCAACCCUGAUCCAGCCAUGACGCGUGAGUGAUGACGGCCUUAGGGUUGUAAAGCUCUUUUCUCCGGGACGAUAAUGACGGUACCGGAGGAAUAAGCCCCGGCUAACUUCGUG